GGAUCCCAGACUCGGCCAAUGAUGGUAAUCGGGGUUUCUCUUAAACUGGUUGACUUGGAGAAGUGAAAUUCGGUGGAGAGGUUCGUUAUUUAACCAACCAGCAGCAUGCAAAAGGAUUUAAAGAAAUUCCAACCCUAACUGGUUGAAAACUUAGGAAAACCUCUUCGUCUAGGAAUCCCAGAGUCAGCGAAUGAUGGUAAUCGGGGUUUCUCUUAAACUGGUUGACUUGGAGAAGUGAAAUUCGGUGGAGAGAUUCGUUACUUAACCGACCAGCAGCAUGCAAAAGGAUUUAAAGAAAUUCCAACCCUAACUGGUUCAAAACUUAGGAAAACCUCUUCGUCUAUGGAUCCUAGACUCAGCCAAUGAUGGUAAUCAGGGUUUCUCUUAAACUGGUUAACCUGGAGAAGUGAAAUUCGGUGGAGAGGUUCUUUAUUUAACCAACCAGCAGCAUGCAAAAGGAUUUAAAUAAAUUCCAACCCUAACUGGUUGAAAACUUAGGAAAACCUCUUCGUCUAGGGAUCCCAGACUCGGCCAAUGAUGGUAAUCGGGGUUUCUCUUAAACUGGUUGACUUGGAGAAGUGAAAUUCGGUGGAGAGGUUCGUUAUUUAACCAACCAGCAGCAUGCAAAAGGAUUUAAAGAAAUUCCAACCCUAACUGGUUGAAAACUUAGGAAAACCUCUUCGUCUAGGAAUCCCAGAGUCAGCGAAUGAUGGUAAUCGGGGUUUCUCUUAAACUGGUUGACUUGGAGAAGUGAAAUUCGGUGGAGAGAUUCGUUACUUAACCGACCAGCAGCAUGCAAAAGGAUUUAAAGAAAUUCCAACCCUAACUGGUUCAAAACUUAGGAAAACCUCUUCGUCUAGGGAUCCCAGACUCGGCCAAUGAUGGUAAUCAGGGUUUCUCUUAAACUGGUUGAGUUGGAGAAGUGAAAUUCGGUGGAGAGAUUCGUUAUUUAACCAACCAGCAGCAUGCAAAAGCAUUUGAAGAAAUUCCACCUCUAACUGGUUGAAAACUUAGGAAAACCUCUUCGUCUAGGGAUCCCAGACUCGGCCAAUGAUGGUAAUCGGGGUUUCUCUUAAACUGGUUGACUUGGAGAAGUGAAAUUCGGUGGAGAGGUUCGUUAUUUAACCAACCAGCAGCAUGCAAAAGGAUUUAAAGAAAUUCCAACCCUA
This 1169-nucleotide long non-coding RNA is filed under the name Anthonomus grandis grandis. RNAcentral's name for it is "uncharacterized LOC126749465". Lineage: Eukaryota; Metazoa; Arthropoda; Insecta; Coleoptera; Curculionidae. The record is from RNAcentral.